AGAGUUUGAUCAUGGCUCAGAAUCAACGCUGGCGGCGCGCUUAACACAUGCAAGUCGCACGAGAAAGUGGAGCAAUCCAUGAGUACAGUGGCGUACGGGUGAGUAACACGUGGGUGAUCUACCUCUUAGUGGGGAAUAACCCUGGGAAACCGGGGCUAAUACCGCAUAAGCCUGAGAAGGGAAAGCAGCAAUGCGCUGAGAGAGGAGCCCGCGGCCGAUUAGCUAGUUGGCAGGGUAAGAGCCUACCAAGGCAGAGAUCGGUAGCCGGCCUGAGAGGGCACACGGCCACACUGGCACUGAAACACGGGCCAGACUCCUACGGGAGGCAGCAGUGGGGAAUCUUGCACAAUGGGGGCAACCCUGAUGCAGCGACGCCGCGUGAGCGAUGAAGCCCUUCGGGGUGUAAAGCUCUUUCGGCAGGGAAGAUGAUGACGGUACCUGCAGAAGCAGCUGCGGCUAACUACGUGCCAGCAGCCGCGGUA
RNAcentral lists this ribosomal RNA (482 nucleotides) under uncultured Acidobacteriota bacterium. Its description in RNAcentral is "bacterial SSU rRNA". It matches the Rfam family "Bacterial small subunit ribosomal RNA", at positions 8 to 522 of the family's 1533-position model. The record is from RNAcentral. Lineage: Bacteria; Pseudomonadati; Acidobacteriota.